CAUCACAAUAUUUCACUAACACACUUAAGGACACUUUUUAAAAAUGCACUUUGUAAUAAUAUCUAAAUAAUUUUAAAUUAUAGUAAGUACACUUUCAUCAUAAUAUUUAUAAACACACUUAAGUGCACUUUUAAAAAUGCACUUUGUAUUAAUGUCUAAUUAAGCUUAACUUAAAGAAAGUACACUUUCAACAUAAUAUUUAUAAACACACUUAAGUGCACUUUUAAAAAUGCACUUUUUAAUACUGUCUAAUUAAGCUUAACUUAUAGUAAGUACACUUUCAUCACAAUAUUUCUUAACAUACUUAAGUACACUUUUUAAAAAUGCACUUUGUCUAAUUUAGUUUUACUUAAAUGUAACCCUGGUUAAAUAAUUAAAUAUUAUUAUUUUAAAAGUGUGCUUAAAAAUAAAAGAGACUAUUCAUACAUCUACAUUUAUUUUAUAAAUGAGGAAAUACAUGUGAAUAAUUCAAUCUGAAUUAUAAAUCUGAAAUGAGUAAACCAAUCGGAGUGUUUAAUUGUAAGCUCCGCCCCUUUUUUGCUUUCUGAUCGCGUCUCAGUUCAGAGGAGAGAUGCAGAGCGACAGAGACACUCUAUCUAACGCGAGAGUGUUUAAUUUGAUUAAAUAUGACUCCUAAGUUCAUAUAAACUGAAGAAAUCAGAAUUUAACUUGCAUAUAUUCAAUGAUACAGCGUGAUUGUGUGGAUUGAGCACUUUUUGAGCUUUCAUUUUGACCUGUGUGAUUAUGUAAAACCACAUGGUGCGUUGUGUUCACUGCUGUUCGCUGACGCCAUUUUGGUUGCACGUGCCUGUGAAAGACAAAAAGAGAGGGAAACACGUGAAUGGACAGGUAUUUGUCUAAAUUGUCAUUUAUUAUGAUGAUGGCACUUAUGUAUUUAUUUUAUUUGUUUCCUGUAUUGUGUACAAUUGUUCAUCAUUAUUGAUACACAAUAUUGAAUGUUUUUCCUUUCGUAUGAACAUUCCUUGAGCUGGAUUUUCCUAAUUGAUGGCGAGCCUCCCAUUUCGACCUGAUUGGAUCACGAAUCUAGAGGAAAGGACAAAUUUCUAUUUUAAAUUUUUUUCUUCAGACAAGUAAGAGGAUACAUUUCAGAAACUGUUUCCUUAUUUUGUUUGUUUACUUCAUUGAACUGAAACAUUUCAGAAGCACAAAUCUGAUCAUUUAAGACUGAUCAAUACUCCAAUUGAUAAGAACUUUGAACUUGAAUACGGAUUUCAGUGUGUUACAUAUAUAAUUUGUACCAUCUUUGUACAUUGAUUGUGACUGUGAUUUCUGUAAAUGAGAAGUAAUUUAGAGGGUGCACCCAUAGUAUAUAUCCCCCUUCUUCAAAUCUUACCCUGGAGGUCCGGAGCACUACAGAGUUAAGCUCCAACCCUGAUCAAACACACCUGAGCAAGCUAAUCAAGGUCUUCAUGAUCACUAGGAAAUCACAGGUGGGUAAGUUUGAUUAGGGUUAGAGCUAAACUCUGUAGUGCUCUGGACCUCCAGGGUAAGAUUUGAGGAACCCUGGUAUAUAUAGUUAAUUGUAUUUUCAUUGUUGUUUACUAUUUUUUGUGAUUAAGGAAAGAAAAAGAAAGGUUUCUCAAUACUCAAAGUAAAAUAAUUUAUUAAUCAACUUACCUUCUGUCUCUGCUUGUUGCUCACUAUCACUGCUACCUCCUCCUUCGUACCGUGCACCCUUCUGAUCUUAUUAUUAUGCCUGGUCCAUAAGUAAGUGAGUUAAUACCCGCUACAUAAAGAAAGUACACUUUCAUGGCAAUAUUUCUAAACGCAUUUAAUAAAUGAUCAUUAGACUGAUGUGACCUACCAAAGACUUGUUAAUUUAAAGUUCAUGCAGUUAUUUUUUAGUUGUCUGUUAAAAUGUUAAAAAAUAAUAACUUUGAGUUUAUUUUUUUCUAAGGGAUGUAAUUAUUCAAUAUUGAUAGUUGUUUGAUUCCAAUUUAACAAUAUUAAAAUGAGUUUUUUUUUUGUUUGGACAUAUACAACUCAUAAUUAAUUUAUUAAAUGUACUUUUGCAAAACAAAAAAUCUGACUACCAAACUGUUUUAUUGUCAGUGUAAGCAUUGUGGUUUUUGUUUGUUUGCAAUGCAUUAAACUGAAAUGAAUACA
Misgurnus anguillicaudatus (oriental weatherfish) is the source of this 2127-nucleotide non-coding RNA. Lineage: Eukaryota; Metazoa; Chordata; Actinopteri; Cypriniformes; Cobitidae. The record is from RefSeq and is a predicted model, not a curated record.